CUGGGGUGUAAUAAAGUUAAGGUAUUGUUGAGAAAAACGACAAUAAGGCGGCUGACAAUUGUUGAGGAUGAACGUUUUAUUUUGUUAUCUUCAAUCGCUCGAAAUCCCUGGGAAAUUAUGUACAUAUAGCUUAAACUCGUCUUCAAACAGCAAUUAUGAAUUUGAAAAGUUAUUUGUGAGAGAAUUAAUUUCAGAAGAAGACAAAAUUUCAAGCGAGCAAUAUGGAAAUGAUAACGGCAGAUAUUAUAACGUGGCGACUAAAUCGCAAUAAUCGUCUGUGCAGCAUAUUUUUCGCUAAAUUGGUAAAUCUAGGUUACGUUCCAGUAUCACAAGUUAUCUCAAAUAGUCGAUAAAAUGAUGAAAUGACUUUGGCUUUUUUGAAUCUCAAGGGCAAGGAAUCAAUCAUUCAGGCGUGUUAAGCGUAGCUACUUGUGUUGCAAUGAAGAACAAGUUCAAGUUAAUUGCUCAGUUGACAAAAAGUAUUCACUCCAAUGUGUAGAGAUGUGUUUUGGCAUACAAUCUUAAUUUUGAUUAACGUACUUUAAUUGUUGUAAAAUCGAGCGAUUAGCGUUUAUUUUAGACACAUGAUAGUCGUCAUAGUCGCAAUCCAUGCAAGGAAUAUUUUAUGAUUUUCAUGCUCUUAAUUGUCUUUUAAACGAAAAUAACUCAACAGAAACAAAAGGCACGGCUUUUUCCAUAUUUACUCGAGAAUACUUUUAAAUUUGAUAAUUGAGAUUGAGUGUUUCUGUGUGAGCCGAACCCAAUCGGAAGAUGAUUGAAUGAUACACUGCACUGCACGAGCUCAAUGACAUUUUACAAAAGAGCGUUGGCUGUAGCCUCUAAACGUCUAGAAACCUAGACGUUUCAUAACGGGUAAAAAGAACUGUAUACAAACGUUUCAAUGUUGUCAUUUAGUUAUCCUAAUAUUUGUGUCUUGAUUGAGCUUUAAGAAUCUGAAAACUUAUGAAGUUUUCACGGGUAUGUCUCGCGAAGUCUUUUUAAAAUAUGUUUUCCCAAAACAAAAAGCGCUUUAUUCAUUAGUAUUGUGCACAUAAACGUCUACCAUUGUCGUACACGUGUCAAAGCUCACUUAAAUAUGUGUUCAUACGGUCUGUCUUUUAGGAUCCGAAAAAAUCGGAUCAUGUGAACAGGCCUUAAACAUGAUUAAUUAUUUAAAGAUAUUGCGAUCAUUAUAUGUCAAAAAUUACAUUUAUAAUGUAUAAAUAAAAAGCAUAAGGAAUUUUUGUGCUUUCUAUCUGUUGCAAAAUACGCAACUGAUAAGAGUCUUUCUAGUUCUUUAAGAGAAAUCGCCUUUAAAA
This is a long non-coding RNA of Xenia sp. Carnegie-2017, 1319 nucleotides long. RefSeq lists it as uncharacterized. The transcript has 2 exons. The record is from RefSeq and is a predicted model, not a curated record. NCBI's taxonomy places the organism in Eukaryota, Metazoa, Cnidaria, Anthozoa, Malacalcyonacea, Xeniidae.